CACCAGACCACACACCGUCCCGUAAACAAAAAGACGAAAAAUAGCCUGCCCUUCCUUCCUCUCUUCUCCUCCUCCCCAAAAUUCCCCUCUCCUUCUCUCGCUCCCGUCGCGACGGCGACGACGACGACGAUAAGUUCGUUGCAGGUGAUGGUACUGAUGUUCAAUUGAUGAAUGAUGACUGUUCCGAUGGAUAGUACUGCUGUUCCGCCAUCGCGGGACCUCGUGCAGCGCCUCCUUAAGAAGAAUGCCGAACUCAAAAGUCAUCUUGAGAAGUCAGCACAGUCCAAAGUCCCAUCAGAUCCCAACAUAUGGCUUCAGAUGCGUGAGAAUUUUGAGAAAAUGAUUCUGGCAGAUCAUGACUUCUGUGAAAAGCAUGAGAUCGAGUAUAUUUUGUGGCAGUUGCACUACAAAAGAAUCGAGGAGUUCAGGCACCACAUUAGUUCUGCAGGUUCAGCUGCAUCUCAGAAUGGGAAGAACAAUGCCAACCCUGAUCGAAUUAAGAGAAUUAAGUCGGCCUUCAGGAGCUUCCUUUCAGAAGCAUCGGGCUUCUAUCAUGACUUGAUGUUCAAGAUCAAAUCCAACUACGACCUUCCUCUGGGUUACUUCUCGGAGUCUCCUGAGAAUGCAAGCAACCCUGGCAAAAAUGAUAAGAGAACAGCUGAUGCUAAGAAAGCCCUGAUAUCAUGCCACCGUUGUCUCAUAUAUCUUGGUGAUUUGGCCCGCUAUAAGGGUAUGUUUGGUGAUGCUGAUUCUGUAAGACGUGAAUAUAAUGCGGCUUCUAAUUACUACAAGGAGGCAGCUUCAAUCUGCCCUUCCAGCGGCAACGCACACCAUCAGCUUGCAAUAUUAGCUUCUUACUCUGGCAAUGAGGUGGUGGCUGUCUACAGAUACUUUCGAAGCUUAGCUGCAGACACUCCCUUCUCCACAGCACGGGACAACUUGAUUCUUGCUUUUGAGAAGAAUCGCCAGGGCUAUGCACAGCUGCCAAGCAACAACAAAGUUGCAAUUGCUAGGACAUUACCCCCACGGUCAGCUGGUAGGGGCAGAGGACGGGGCGAAAUAAGGUUUCAGCCCAAGGAUGUUAAUACUGAAGCAGCUUCAAAAGAGCGAGAGCAAAGUAUUCCUGAUACACUGAAGUCCUUCUUUGUACGGUUUGUUAGGCUCAAUGGAAUUCUUUUCACAAGGACUAGUUUGGAAACAUUUGAGGAACUGUUUGAUGUGGUCAUCAACGAUCUGAAAAUUCUCCUCUCUUCUGGUCCAAAUGAAGAGUUCCAUUUUGGUUCUGAUGCUGCAGAGAACGCAUUAGUUAUUGUUCGACUUGUUGCAAUCCUUAUAUUCACAGUGCACAACGUGAAAAAGGAACCAGAUAACCAGUCAUAUGCUGAAAUUGUCCAACGCAGGGUACUUCUUCAAAAUGCAUUUACAGCUGCUUUUGAGUUUGUUGGACAUAUUCUCAAAAGGUGCUCAGAACUUCGUGAUAUUGCAUCAAGUUUCUAUCUUCCAGCCAUUGUGGUCUACAUCGAAUGGCUGGCAUGCCAUCCGGAGUUAGCUGCUGAUUCGGAGAUGGACGAGAAGCAUGCGAAUGCUCGAUCUUUCUUCUGGAACCAGUGUGUCUUGCUUAUGAAUAAGCUCAUCCUUACAGACCUUGCGUCCAUUGAUGGUGAUGAUGAUGAGGCUUGCUUUUUUGAUAUGGGCGUGUAUGAAGAGGGUGAAACUGGCAAUCGACUUGCAUUGUGGGAAGAUUUUGAAUUAAGGGGAUUUUCCCCCUUGGUGCCUGCACAUAUUAUCUUGGAUUUCUCAAGCAAGCACACAUUUGGAAGUGAUGGUAGCACCAAGGAGAAGAAAGCACGGGCACAACGGAUACUUUCUGCAGGGAAGGCUCUACUCAAUUUUGUUCAGAUUGAUCAACUGAGAAUAUAUUUUGACCCAUCUUCAAGAAAGUUUGUUGUGGCCAAGGAGCCUCCUGUUUUUGAAGCUGCCACCUCUACUCAUAGAUCUCGCAAUGCACCUGAAACAAAUGCUGUUGAGCUGGAACAUGAAGUUGGUAACAAAUUUGAUGCAGUGGCAACUAAUCUUGGAGCAAUGCAGUCGGGAGCACAGUUGUGUUCCGAGGGAGAAGAUGAUGAAGAAAUUGUUUUCAAACCUACAGCGUCUGAGAAGCUCCCAAAAGUACUUACCGAACUACCCGUUAAUGGAUAUAUCCAGCCUCUACAAAUGUCUACUGCUGGGUGGCCAACAAUUGGCGGACCAGUUGCUAUUCAGAGUACUGCAUCUGCAUCAGGUCCUGGAAACUGUAAUGUUAACGAGUCACUUCCCAUGUCUUCUGGUGGUUGGGCUUUCAAUGGCAGGCGAGAGGCUAUUUCUAGCAAUGUUUCAAUGUCGACAACUUACGAAUUUGUGCAGCCUGUUGAGAUGGCUACUUCCAGCUGGGCAAGUAAUGGUGCACCACUUGUUGGCCCUCUGAACACAAUGCCUACUUUCUCAGCUGCCAUCUCUGACCCGCGUGUAUCUGCAGCAAUGGUUCCACAUUUUGGCAGCCCAGAUUAUUCAAAAUUGCUCCUUGAACAAGAAAAACUCUUAAUGAUGGGAUUAAAUAAUGUUCAUUUGGCUGGAAAUGGAUUUCCUGAGCAGAGGUUUCAGGGUGGGCCGAGUGGAUUACAGUCAAUGGUAUAUUCUCCACAUGUAUCUGUUGAAUCUGCGGGCAACAAUACAAGUUUGAUGCAUAAUCAGGUGAAAGCGACUGAAGAAACCAUCCCAUCCACUUCUGAUUCAAUUGUACCAUCAGUAGCAGCAUCUGGUGGGAUGACAAUCAAUCUCACUGACGCACCUGUAGCUGUAUCAAAGAAGAAUCCUGUGAGUCGUCCAUCAAGGCCCGUUGGUCCUCCUCCAGGAUUUAAUCACAUCACUCCAAAACGCCAUGAUGAUAUUAUGCCAUUUGAGAAGCUGCAGCACCAACAGAUCGAUGAUUACAGCUGGCUGGAUGGCUACCAGCCAUCACUGGAACGUGUUCAUAACUCAAAAGCUAUUUAUCCUGAUGUUGCCACUACCAGCAGUGCAUUCACCACUCCCUUCCCUUUCCCUGGGAAACAGCAGGUUUCUGGGGUGUACACCUUAGGGGCCAGUGAGAAAACAUGGCAAGAUUUCCACCUUUUUGACCCUGCAAAGCAGAAUAUGGUUCAAAACCACCAACAAAUUAAUCAGCAUAGUGGUCAAGUGGCUGAAAAGCAGCCGGCAAAACCUAUCGGAUCUGGCCGUUAUCUUGUGUGACGGAGUAGCUUGUACCUGGAUGGUUACUACUGGAGUCGCUGAGGAUCUGUUGGAGUAAGUGGCACAGCUUGAUAUACCUAUUCAAUUCGGACCCAUACCUGCAGCCCUUUCAUAGUGUUAAAUUUCUUUUGGAGAAUGGUGGUCUUGGAAGCAUAGCAAGUGCUGCUGUUAGGUUUGGGUGUGCCAGGUCUUCCGGGGCCAGUUGGAGGUUGGAGGGUGAUUUUGAUCUGGGGACUGUCUGAUGGAGAUGAAUUGUACGCAGAACGCUUGGAUGCUCAGGCAUGAGGGGUUUGAUCGAAGGAACUCGAAUCCAGUCACUGUAGGCGCGCUAUGUGCUUCAGCUCUCAUUGGAUAAACUGUCUACCUUACAGAGAAUGGCCAGUGUGUGGCUGCUGUGGUGGAGACUAAAUGCCGUUUAGUGUUGCUCGUGCUCAUCUAUGGCUACUAUGAAUUAAGUUCGAGGAACAGUUAGCUUGCUGGCAAGUUGGCCCUCGAAGUAUACUGCAUCUACUUAUGUUGCAUCGUUUGCGUUUGCUGUCGGCAACAGCACGUUAUAAUCAUCCUUCUGCGAGGAAGUUUUACUUCCAUAUAUCACUAUAUGAUUUGAACAAUUUGUUUUGGUCUUUGUUGUCCGGUACCGGUGAACUCAACUUUUUUUGUGCAAUAAGUUUCUUGUUACCUUGUCGUAUGCAAUGUCCGACUGAAU
This 3973-nucleotide ribosomal RNA is filed under the name Triticum aestivum (bread wheat). Its description in RNAcentral is "partial small subunit ribosomal RNA". The record is from RNAcentral. Lineage: Eukaryota; Viridiplantae; Streptophyta; Magnoliopsida; Poales; Poaceae.